Molecule: ribosomal RNA, 415 nt
Filed under: uncultured bacterium
Lineage: Bacteria
Description: bacterial SSU rRNA
Rfam family: Bacterial small subunit ribosomal RNA
Source: RNAcentral
AGUGAACGCUGGCGGCAGGCCUAACACAUGCAAGUCGAGCGGCAGCGCGUCCGACCACCCUCGGGUGGUCGGAUGGCGGCGAGCGGCGGACGGGUGAGGAAUGCAUCGGAAUCUGCCUCGUUGUGGGGGAUAACGUAGGGAAACUUACGCUAAUACCGGCAUACGACCUACGGGUGAAAGUGGGGGACCUUCGGGCCUCACGCGAUGAGAUGAGCCGAUGCCGGAUUAGCUAGUUGGCGGGGUAAAGGCCCACCAAGGCGACGAUCCGUAGCUGGUCUGAGAGGAUGAUCAGCCACACUGGAACUGAGACACGGUCCAGACUCCUACGGGAGGCAGCAGUGGGGAAUAUUGGACAAUGGGGGGCAACCCUGAUCCAGCCAUGCCGCGUGUGUGAAGAAGGCCUCGGUUGUUAAGC